RNAcentral lists this ribosomal RNA (253 nucleotides) under uncultured bacterium. Its description in RNAcentral is "partial 16S ribosomal RNA". It matches the Rfam family "Bacterial small subunit ribosomal RNA", at positions 524 to 776 of the family's 1533-position model. The record is from RNAcentral.
UACGUAGGGUGCGAGCGUUGUCCGGAAUUAUUGGGCGUAAAGGGCUCGUAGGCGGUUCGUCGCGUCGGCUGUGAAAACCCGGAGCUCAACUCCGGGCCUGCAGUCGAUACGGGCGGACUUGAGUGUUGCAGGGGAGACUGGAAUUCCUGGUGUAGCGGUGAAAUGCGCAGAUAUCAGGAGGAACACCGGUGGCGAAGGCGGGUCUCUGGGCAACUACUGACGCUGAGGAGCGAAAGCGUGGGGAGCGAACAGG